AUGCCUUUCGAUCUCCCCAGUGAGCCUACGACCAACUCCUACGAGGAGAUGAUGGUUGACAUGCGCAUGAUAUCUUACCGAUGGCGGCCACACAGAGUGCUGCUGUACGUAGGCAGCUUGCCUAACACGCCAACAUCACGCCGGACACAACCUUCGCGACGGAGAAAGUCAAGCUCUGUCACGGCGAAUACCAUCAAUACGUGUGUGGCUAUUAGCAGUAGCACAUGGAACAAGCUGCUGCAUCUGGCCAGAUCAGCCAAUGACUCUGACUUUGUUGGUAGUCCCAUGUUCGGUGAGUCGGCCACUGAAUUCCUUGCGAGCACCAGAGACCUUGAAUCCCGAUUCAGAUCCAGUGGUGUACAUCGUGGUUCCAAGAUAAUUCCACCGAAUCCGAUGAUACUAGCGUGA
Molecule: ribosomal RNA, 408 nt
Filed under: Triticum aestivum (bread wheat)
Lineage: Eukaryota; Viridiplantae; Streptophyta; Magnoliopsida; Poales; Poaceae
Description: partial small subunit ribosomal RNA
Source: RNAcentral